Molecule: ribosomal RNA, 1547 nt
Filed under: Acinetobacter oleivorans DR1
Lineage: Bacteria; Pseudomonadati; Pseudomonadota; Gammaproteobacteria; Moraxellales; Moraxellaceae
Description: 16S ribosomal RNA
Rfam family: Bacterial small subunit ribosomal RNA
Source: RNAcentral
UAACUGAAGAGUUUGAUCAUGGCUCAGAUUGAACGCUGGCGGCAGGCUUAACACAUGCAAGUCGAGCGGAGAGAGGUAGCUUGCUACUGAUCUUAGCGGCGGACGGGUGAGUAAUGCUUAGGAAUCUGCCUAUUAGUGGGGGACAACAUUUCGAAAGGAAUGCUAAUACCGCAUACGUCCUACGGGAGAAAGCAGGGGAUCUUCGGACCUUGCGCUAAUAGAUGAGCCUAAGUCGGAUUAGCUAGUUGGUGGGGUAAAGGCCUACCAAGGCGACGAUCUGUAGCGGGUCUGAGAGGAUGAUCCGCCACACUGGGACUGAGACACGGCCCAGACUCCUACGGGAGGCAGCAGUGGGGAAUAUUGGACAAUGGGCGGAAGCCUGAUCCAGCCAUGCCGCGUGUGUGAAGAAGGCCUUAUGGUUGUAAAGCACUUUAAGCGAGGAGGAGGCUACUUUAGUUAAUACCUAGAGAUAGUGGACGUUACUCGCAGAAUAAGCACCGGCUAACUCUGUGCCAGCAGCCGCGGUAAUACAGAGGGUGCAAGCGUUAAUCGGAUUUACUGGGCGUAAAGCGCGCGUAGGCGGGCUAAUUAAGUCAAAUGGUGAAAUCCCCGAGCUUAACUUGGGAAUUGCAUUCGAUACUGGUUUAGCUAGAGUGUGGGAGAGGAUGGUAGAAUUCCAGGUGGUAGCGGGUGAAAUGGCGUAGAGAGAUCUGGAGGAAAUACCGAUGGCGAAGGCAGCCAUCUGGCCUAACACUGACGCUGAGGUGCGAAAGCAUGGGGAGCAAACAGGAUUAGAUACCCUGGUAGUCCAUGCCGUAAACGAUGUCUACUAGCCGUUGGGGCCUUUGAGGCUUUAGUGGCGCAGCUAACGCGAUAAGUAGACCGCCUGGGGAGUACGGUCGCAAGACUAAAACUCAAAUGAAUUGACGGGGGCCCGCACAAGCGGUGGAGCAUGUGGUUUAAUUCGAUGCAACGCGAAGAACCUUACCUGGCCUUGACAUAGUAAGAACUUUCCAGAGAUGGAUUGGUGCCUUCGGGAACUUACAUACAGGUGCUGCAUGGCUGUCGUCAGCUCGUGUCGUGAGAUGUUGGGUUAAGUCCCGCAACGAGCGCAACCCUUUUCCUUAUUUGCCAGCGAGUAAUGUCGGGAACUUUAAGGAUACUGCCAGUGACAAACUGGAGGAAGGCGGGGACGACGUCAAGUCAUCAUGGCCCUUACGGCCAGGGCUACACACGUGCUACAAUGGUCGGUACAAAGGGUUGCUACCUAGCGAUAGGAUGCUAAUCUCAAAAAGCCGAUCGUAGUCCGGAUUGGAGUCUGCAACUCGACUCCAUGAAGUCGGAAUCGCUAGUAAUCGCGGAUCAGAAUGCCGCGGUGAAUACGUUCCCGGGCCUUGUACACACCGCCCGUCACACCAUGGGAGUUUGUUGCACCAGAAGUAGCUAGCCUAACUGCAAAGAGGGCGGUUACCACGGUGUGGCCGAUGACUGGGGUGAAGUCGUAACAAGGUAGCCGUAGGGGAACCUGCGGCUGGAUCACCUCCUUA